RNAcentral lists this ribosomal RNA (215 nucleotides) under uncultured bacterium. RNAcentral's name for it is "partial 16S ribosomal RNA". It matches the Rfam family "Bacterial small subunit ribosomal RNA", at positions 1286 to 1500 of the family's 1533-position model. The record is from RNAcentral.
UCUCAGUUCAGAUUGCAGGCUGCAACUCGCCUGCAUGAAGUCGGAAUUGCUAGUAAUCGCAGAUCAGCAUGCUGCGGUGAAUACGUUCCCGGGCCUUGUACACACCGCCCGUCACACCAUGGGAGUCGGUAACACCCGAAGUCGGUAGCCUAACCGUAAGGAGGGCCGCCGCCGAAGGUGGGAUUGAUGACUGGGUGAAGUCGUAACAAGGUACC